UACGAAGGGGGCUAGCGUUGCUCGGAUUUACUGGGCGUAAAGGGCGCGUAGGCGGAGAGUUUAGUCAGAGGUGAAAGCCCAGGGCUCAACCUUGGAAUUGCCUUUGAUACUGGCUGUCUUGAGUACGGGAGAGGUGAGUGGAACUCCGAGUGUAGAGGUGAAAUUCGUAGAUAUUCGGAAGAACACCAGUGGCGAAGGCGGCUAACUGGUCCAGUACUGACGCUGAGGUGCGAAGGCGUGGGGAGCAAACAGG
Molecule: ribosomal RNA, 253 nt
Filed under: uncultured bacterium
Lineage: Bacteria
Description: partial 16S ribosomal RNA
Rfam family: Bacterial small subunit ribosomal RNA
Source: RNAcentral